AUUUCAAAGGUUGAAUCUUUUCUUCCUGAAACAUAAAUGUCAGUUUAGCCAAAAUGGUCUCUGAGAUUGACAUAACUCCUUAAUUUGUCCUUGAGGUUUGAAAUCGAUAGAACUGGUCCUUGAUGUUUGAAAUCGAUAGAACUGGUCCCUGAGUUUGUCCAUUAUCCAUCAUUUUCAUCCUUCUAUGCAAAAUAUCUGUUAAAUAAGAAUUGUUAGGGCCCAAAGAUGUCACAUGUAAACCCAAUCAAGUAGGCCCGAUUGUCGUAAAACCCCGAGUCAAGUCUAAACACAUGUCAAGGUAUGAAAUCGAGAAGGGAAAACAUUCACAAUCAUGCCAUGCCAUUAAUAUAUGAUAAACGAACCAGACAUUUAUAUAAUCACGCAACGCCAUGCAAAUCCCUACACAUUCAUCAUGCCAUGUUAUAUUUCGCUAAUUACCAUUCACGCUAAAAUAUGCCCAAUCCAUAUGUCUGGGGCUUGCCAAGUGAAUCAUGGUGUGGAUGUUUACGGAAGUUUGUCGGGCAUACACAAAGUCAAGAUUAUGGAAGACUUUGGGCUGCUUAGGAGCCCAAAGAUCCAAACCCACAAUCCCACAAUCCUUGAAGUCUACGUAAGUGAGUUUGAGAGAGAACAAACCUAAUUCCCUUUUUUCCCUAGCUAGACAACUAAGCCAGUUAGAAAAGAGUCAGACUCAAGGCCUUAAAAAUCAUGUGAAAGCCCAAUAGAGCCUGCAUUUAAUGAAAAGAGAGGCAGAUUUUCCCUUCCUAGUUCACGUAGAAGAACAAUGAAAGAAAGUCAUGAAACGUGUUACUAGAAUUAAUGCACGUGGAAGUUGACCUAGGAAAUAAGCGCUCUGGAAAGAGAGCCCGAUGUAGUCUUCACAAAAGCAUUGGUGUUCAUCUGUCUUAAACCAAAUGGGAAGGUCAGAGUUAUGCUGGGAGAAAUGGGAGGGAAGACUUAGUUAUAACUAGAGCUUUUCUAGGAAGCCUCAAAAGGGAACCAUUCACCUACAAAAGAGAGGUCAGAGGUUUUGAAUAGAGGAAGACAUAAUAUUAGAGAGAGGGAGAUUCAAGGUUAUACUGCACCAAGCAAGGGAAAUAGCUCUCUAAGUGCAAAUAGUCUUGAACAUCUAAGAGGAUCACCUUCAUGCAACCUUAGUAGUUUCUUUAAGCUUCCUUCAAUGGGAGCCUUCUUAGAACCCUAGGAAACCCAAAUCACCCAACUAAACACAUCAUGCAAUCAUGCAAAGUUCUUUCGCAUGCUAAAUUGGUAAACUUCUAGAUUCACCUCACUCAUGCAAGUUAUUAUUUGCCUAAUCAUGUUAUCUUUGAGUCAUUAAUCCAACCGGGAUAUUUCCUAAGACAUGCUAAUUCUUUCGAAAUAUUUUGGGAAUUGGUACCAAAACGAACCAGGGGAAUAAAAAGGGUACUUUCAAGCCCAAGUCUAGCUCGGCUUAAAAAUCCCUUAACAAUGACAAAAGAUAAAAAUACCCUCAAUUUAAUAAACAAUGUGCCAAAGUAAUUUGACAAAAAUCGAGAGUAUUUUUGUCAUUUAUAGCUUAUUAAUGAAGGUCAUUUCCGAAAUGACCAAAAUGAUUGACGGUGGACAAACUCAGAGACCAAUUCUAUCGAUUUUAAAUAUCAUGGACCAAAGUGAGGAGUUAGACCAAUCUCAAUGAUUAUUUUUGGCUAAAAAGCCAUGUACUGCAGCCCAGUAAAUGCAUGUUCAAGUUGGGAAGCAUCGAACGAAAUCAAUCGUGUUUAAUUGCAAGAAAUUGGUGGUUCAAAAUUCAAUCUUUUAAGAGGUUUUAAGAUAUUUUUACAUGUCUUCAUGAAUUUACAAUUUUUUUCUUUUAUCUGAUAAAUUGUUAUGUCAUGGUUUGUGCAGUGUAGUUUAUGACUUGGGUUAUGAAACACCAAUAAUGUUACAAAAAUUACACCUUAAGAGACCAAUAAUCCAACUUAGAUAUAAAAUUUAAAACCAAUAAUAUAAUUAGUCUCCCAACUUAAUUAUAUAUACAAAAUGUAUCAUUGAAAUCCAAAACGAAAAAGAAAUGAAACAAAGUUUAAUCAGGGAACAUGACAAUGUGUUGUGUCCCCUCAUUGUGUAUUUUUAAUCAGAUCCCUAAGCUGUUGAAGAAGUUGAUCGGUUGAGCAAUGUUCUUCUUUUGCUUAAAACAGUACAAAUACACUCCAAAUCGAAAAAUAGUGUACUUGUGGUGCCAAAAAAGCAUAUGAUCUUUUGAGAACUCGUUCUUAAUAUCUUAGCAGCGUAUUAUUGGUGUUUAUUUGUUUAAGUUCAAUAGCGUGUCAAAUGCAUGUUCAUUUUGUCCCAUGAAUGCAGGCAAGGGACAUCAGGAACAUUACUUGCAUUACAAGUUCCGCUACUUAGGUUGGUGCAAAAGGCACGGAUCUCCUUCCCAGCAAUUGCCGAUGUGAUUUUAAUCUGGUGCAAAUUAAUGUUAGCACAACCUAGAUUCUCCGAGCAAUCAAACUUGAUCGCUUCUUCGGUUGCAGAAGUUCCAUGAAAACCAUUGUAUGUCACAUCGCUCAUUCACUGUCGAAGUCAGCAAAUUUUUUCAAAAAUGAUGACUUCGUUAAUACAACUAAUUUGUUUGAGUUAAAAAUCAUUUUAUUGAAAUUAGCAUAAGAGCAAUCUACUAACCUUAUUCCAUGACCUAGUCCACAACUAAUUUUGGUGAUAUUGAUAGAGGUUAAUUUGGUCCACAACUUUUAUUUAAAUGUGUAACUUAAAUGUGCACUUUUGAUGUGCACCUGGACUUAACAUUUUAUGUAAGUAGAAUAUGUUGACUAGUUCAUGGCCGGCCAAGCCCACGUGAGUCAAGUUGUGAUGGGUCGACCCGUUUGAUACCUUUAAAGCAACCUAAUCAUCUAGAAUCCAAAUAGUCAUGUAUUCUCCACAAACGAACGGGUUUUAUUUAGGUACACAAUCUUAUCCUAUGAAGGUUUUCAAUGUACCCGAUCUGAUCAGAUUAAAAACUUUACCCUUUUUGCCUUUUCACUUUAUAUAUGUAGAUAUCCCCCCUCCCUAUAUAUGGAAAACAUACGCUAAUUGCAAACCAUAGUCUCUCAUAAUUAAUAAGAGUUGCAACAGUGUAACUGUGCUAUGUAAGUUAAUAUCCGUGAUUAGGGGCGCAUUGCACAAAUUUUAUCCUUCACAAGUGCGUAGGCCAGCGUUUGCUACCAUACAUUUCAACCACUGAAACUCAUGUGUGUACAAAACUAGGGAAAUGGAUUCUCUCUGGAUCAUUUCCACCAAAUUCACCAAGUUAACAAAUUCGAACCCUUGAAAUUUGAUCCAAUGACUAAAGUUAUUAUAACUUUUAAAGGAAGCUCACGUUUUUAGUUGUUGGAUCAAAUUUUAAAGGUCUGGAUUCGUUGACCUGGUAAAUUUGAUGGAAAGAAUCCGAAAAUGAUUCCUUUUCCAAAACUAGGAGCCCAAGGAUUUGACUAGUCACCCUUUGGAGUUGGCCCAUUCAAAAGUGCAAAUCCCUGAUAGCAAUCCUCCACGCCAACUGGUAAACUUUUAGCUUCCACACCACACUUUACUUAAGCAAGUUAUUAUUUGCUUAAUCAUGCUAUCUUUAAGUCAUUGAUCAAACCGGAAUAUUUCCUAAGACGCUAUAAUUCUUUCGAGAUAUUUCGAGAUUUGGUACGAAAGCGAACCAGGGGAAUGAAAAGGGUACUUGCAAGCCCAAGUCUAGCUUGGCUUAAAAAUCCCCUAACAAUGACAAAAAUGACAAAAAUGACCUCAAUUUAAUAAACAAUGUGCCGAAGUAAUUUGACAAAAAAUCGAGGGUAUUUUUGUCAUUUACAGCUUAUUUAAUGGAGGUUAUUUCUGGAAUGACCAAAAUAAUUGACGGUGGACAAACUCAGAGACCAAUUUUAUCGAUUUUAAAUCUCAUAGACCAAGGUGAUGAGUUAUGCCAAUCUCAAGGACUAUUUUUUGCUAAAAAGCCAUGUAUUGCAGCCAGUAAAUGCAUCUUCAAGCUGGGAAACAUCGAACGAAAUCAAUCGUGUUUAAUUGCAAGAAAUUGGUGGUUCAAAAUUCAAUCUUUUAAGAGGUUUAAGAGAUUUUUAUAUGUCUUCAUGAAUUUACAAUUUUUUUUCUUUUAUCUGAUAAAUUUUUCUGUCAUGAUUUGUGCAGUGUAGUUUAUGACUUGGGUUAUGAAACACCAAUAAUGUUACAAAAAUUACACCUUAAGAUACCAAUAAUCCAACAUAGAUAUAAAAUUUAAAACCAAUAAUAUAAUUAGUCUCCCAACUUAAUUAUAUAUACAAAAUGUAACAUUGAAAUCGAAAAAGAAAUGAAACAAAGUUUAAUCAGGGAAACAUGACAAUGUGUUGUGUCCCCUCAUUGUGUAUUUUUAAUCAGAUCCCUAAGCUGUUGAAGAAGUUGAUCAGUUGAGCAAUGUUCUUCUUUUGCUUAAAACAGUACAAAUACACUUCAAAUCGAAAAAAUAGUGUACUUGUGAUGCCAAAAAAAUCUGAUCUUUUGAGAACUCGUUCUUAAUAUCUUAGCAGCGUAUUAUUGGUGUUUAUUUGUUUAAGUUCAAUAGCGUGUCAAACGUAUGUUCGUUUUGUCCCAUGAAUGCAGGCAAGGGACAUCAUGAACAUUACUUGCAUUACAAGUUCCGCUACUUAGGUUGUUGCAAGAGGCACGGAUCUCCUUCCCAACAAUUGCCGAUGUGAUUUUAAUCUGGUGCAGAUUAAUGUUGGCACAACCUGGAUUCUCCGAGCAAUCAAACUUGAUCGCUUCUUCGGUUGCAGAAGUUCCAUGAAAACCAUUGUAUGUCACAUCGCUCACACUCACUGUCGAAGUCAGCAAAUUUUUUCAAAAAUGAUGACUUCGUUAAUACAACUAAUUUUGGUGAUAUUGAUAAAGGUUAAUUUGGUCCACAACUUUUAUUUAAAUGUGUAACUUAAAUGUGCACUUUUGAUGUGCACCUGGACUUACCAUUUUAUGUAAGUAGAAUAUGUUGACUAGUUCAUGGCCGACCAAGCCCACGUGAGUCGGGUUGUGAUGGGUCGACCCGUUUGACACCUUUAAAGCAACCUAAUCAUCUAGAAUCCAAAUAGUCAUGUAUCCUCCACAAAUGAACGGGUUAUAUUUAGGUACACAAUCUUAUCUUAUGAAGGUUUUCAAUGUACCCGAUCUGAUCAGAUUAAAAACUUUACCUUUUUGCCUUUUCACUUUAUAUAUGUAGAUAUCCCCCCCCUCCCGAUAUAGGGAAAACAUACGCUAAUUGCAAACCAUAGUCUCUCAUAAUUAAAAAGAGUUGCAACAAUGUAACUGUGCUAUGUAAGUUAAUAUCCGUGAUUAGGGCGCAUUGCAUUUAUUUUAUCCUUCACAAGUGCGUAGGCCAGCGUUUGCUACCAGACAUUUCAACCACUGAAACUCCUGUGUGUACAAAACUAGGGAAAUGGAUUCUCUCUGGAUCAUUUCCACCAAAUUCACCAAGUUAACAAAUUCGAACCCUUGAAAUUUGAUCCAAUGACUAAAGUUAUUAUAACUUUUAAAGAAAACUCACGUUUUUAGUUGUUGGAUCAAAUUUUAAAGAUCUGAAUUCGUUGACCUGGUAAAUUUGAUGGAAAUAAUUUGAAAAUGAUUCCUUUUCCAAAACUAGGAGCCCAAGGAUUUGACUAGUCACCCUUUGGAGUUGGCCCAUUCAAAAGUGCAAAUCCCUAAUAGCAAUCCUCCACGCCAACACCAAGUCAGCCAAAGCCAGGCAGGCCAAACAAAAACAAACAAACAAAAGAGGCCAAUCCUACCACAUGUUCCGCGAUGCUUCCAAAGACAGAAACCCCAGUACCCCACACUUGUCCCUCAAACCUUUCUCCCACCCACCUUCCCAAUCCUCCUUUUUCUACAAAACAACUUGGAAAUCUGAUUUGAUUAAGAUCUCAACUUAAUUUAGAUUAAUAGGUGGUCAUAAGACCACCAAUUCUCAAUUAUGUUACUUGUUUUACUCAACUACGGAUCCAUCAAUUUAUUUGAAACUUUCUCUCUUGUCGUAUCACAUUCUAUUUUGCGAUAUUUGAGACGUCAUACUUAUGAUUGUAGGAUCAAAACAUCAUGUGCUUUUUAUGAAAAAAAUUUCCCUACAUCAGCACGCUAUUGUGUGAGAAAGUUAUAACGUUUAAUAACAACACAAUGACAUCUCAAGAAGUUCUAAAGAUGCAAAUGUGACAAUAUUCUAAACCCAUUGCAAUUAUUGUUCGAGAAAAUUAAAACAUGUGUCAAUGUGCGAAUGACUUGUCACAAUUCUACAAUCACAUCCACAUACUUCUCGGAAAAAAAAAAUUCUGAAGAUUCAAUUGUGACAAUAUUCCAAGUCAAUCAUAAAUCGUGCAAUAACACAACAAAUUGCAAAUAGAUCCAAUCCUCAUUUCCUCCAAAAUACAAUUACAAAGGGAUUAUGAGAAUCCAAACAAAGUCUUUAGUAGAAGAUUACAUACUUGUCCCAUGAAACCUCCUCCCCCAAUGUCAUAAAACCAUCUCCUAAUAGAGAUGGCCACUUCUAUGAAGGAAACCAAAACAAACUUCUAUCCACAUAUAGAGAGAGAGAGAGAGAUAGACUUUACGCCUCCCACUCUCUCUCCUCUUCCCUUUUAUUCCUCUUAAUUUACAUAUACAUCUUUUGAGUUUACACAAAAAGACUCACCAUAAAUUAAACAUAUUAAGAUCAACUCACUUGACUUGUAUAUACAAAAAUUACACUCUCCAUCUCAAAGACCCCCCAAAAAACAUUAAUCUUCUUCCUCCUCCUCUUGAUAUUUUUCCCAAAGCACAAAG
This 6816-nucleotide long non-coding RNA is filed under the name Malus domestica (apple). RNAcentral's name for it is "long non-coding RNA (MDOM_LNC006339)". The record is from RNAcentral. Lineage: Eukaryota; Viridiplantae; Streptophyta; Magnoliopsida; Rosales; Rosaceae.